Long non-coding RNA from Etheostoma cragini (Arkansas darter), 402 nucleotides. RefSeq lists it as uncharacterized. The transcript is spliced from 3 exons. Lineage: Eukaryota; Metazoa; Chordata; Actinopteri; Perciformes; Percidae. The record is from RefSeq and is a predicted model, not a curated record.
AUUCUGUGUUCAACACCAGCUCAGACGAAAAAGACAUGUGUCAGACGCCGAACUGGAAACGGCAAUCAUGUCAUCGAUAGAUAAGACAGGUCCAUAUUACGGCCGAAAAUUCAUGACAGGAUACCUGUCAUCAGUGGGGGUAAGGGCAGGAGAAUCUCGAGUGGGAAACAUUCUCAGAGAGGUACACCAGCCAUAUAAUGAACUGCGUCGCCAAGGAGCACGCAAUCUGAAUCCAGUUCCUUAUCACGCCGAGUAUAUGGGUCACAAACUCCACCUAGACCAGAAUGAGAAGCUGGGAAUGUUUGGAGUGACACAUGUCUUAGCUAUUGAUGGAUUCAGCAGCAAAAUUGUUGCCGAAUCCACAAUGCCAGUGAAAAACAACCUUAUUGUUUAUGAAGAAGU